GGCAGGGAAGAAUUGCAGAUUUAGGGAAAGUUAAUCGUAGGAGUUGUAUAAAAUCCUUAACCUCUUGCAGCCUGAGCAGCCGUGAGGGGAGAUGCUCCUCCAGCCCCCGAAGCAAGGUAAAGCCUUGGUGCUGGGCAGGGGGAGCCUCUCUGCCUGGGAGGAAUUAGAGCUUGGCCGUGAUGAAGCGCUAAUUGCAGCAUUGAAACAAAUUGGCUCAGUGGGCGCAGGAUAACCUUUUUCCUGCUGCCCAACAUGCUUAUCUGCUGCAGACAGACUGGCAAGAUGAACAGGAAAGCUGAUACCUUAUCUCUCCCUCUCAAGGAGCUUAUUUAAGUGCUGGAAUGCGUCGAAAUGGUAAAUGAUUGUUACAAUCCAAGUGAGGUACAUGGACCUACAGACAGGCCCUGCUGGGAGGCAGCACCCAUUUAGGAAGGAGACCCACAAGACUACAAGAUUUGAGGGCUUUUCCAUCUUUUAUCUAUCUAAAGACAUCUCCUGAAGUGCAAAACAGUUGUUUAAAACCAAAGGUAUGUGCUCCUUGUCAGCCCGUGGGUUGACACAGUGGGCUGCUCCCGGCUGCAUGUGGUUGCUUGGUCCCUCUGAUAUGGCUUAUCUGUGUUUGUCUGCUCAGCACUGAGCGAGGGGCACGGCGAGGGUUAAUGCCAUAUCUGCAUAGCACCACGCUGCUCCUGCUUGCCCCUCCAUCCAGGCUCAGAGCAGGAAGCAGUACGAUGCUGACACGUCCAUAAAGGUAGAUAGACUGGAGAGCUAUCGGGCUAAUUGGAAUGAGCUGGGCUUAGCUGCUCAGGCAGCCCAGCACCACAGAACGAGACCUCUCCGGGGAUGCAGAAUGCAGCAGAGCCACAGCACUUCACCUCUUUCAGCCGCUGCAAGUGGCAGCGACAGCAAUAGCAAUUGCAGGCGCCGGGGGCUGAGCGCUGUGACAGCAGAAGGGACAGGGAAAGCCCGUGCUGUCAGUGUGAUGUCCCCAGCAGCUGCUGCGGAGGGGUGCGACGGGGUAUUUUGGUCCGGUCCUGGGUGGAAAAAGAGACGGUGAUGCCGGGUGCCAGGAGCACUGCUGGGGCAGGGCUUGGGCUCAGGUUGCUCCCGCUGCUCCAGGCACACAGCAGCCUCUGGAGAAACUGCACCUCGGCAAUACACACAGCUGCCACGGGCUGCUGCAUCGGAAAGUUAAUCAGUUCCACAUCACUGACCGCUUUUCCAUUGCGAAGCAGAAGGAACUGCCAUCCCAGAGCAGAGCUCAGCCUGCCCACGUUGCAGGGCUGAGGGCUUCAGCAGAAGCACAGGUGACAUUGUGGCAGCCAGGAUGAGACAAGGCUCUUUCUGGGACAUCUGACCUCUAACCUGCAGCUUUUAUCCCCUGCAAAAAUCUUUCAAUUAGACAGAGUGAUGUGCGUGUCUGCAAGAUCUUCCGUGUUCUCCUUGUGCUUUGUAAUGUCCCUGGCUCCAUCCCUUUGGAUGGCAGCAGGACAGCAGCCCCAUCACAGCCUAUUUGGGGGCUGAAGAGAGGACCCUACAGGGAAGCAGGACUGCAGGCAAAGGCCAUGGUGCUCAUUUGUUUCCCUACAAUGUGAUCCAAUUAUAUUGACAGG
This is a long non-coding RNA of Gallus gallus (chicken), 1613 nucleotides long. NCBI's taxonomy places the organism in Eukaryota, Metazoa, Chordata, Aves, Galliformes, Phasianidae. The record is from Ensembl.